GAGGGGAGCAAGAUGUCCACAUUGCAGAGCUGCUCCAGCACAUGGUAAGGAACAAGUUCCAAGCACAAAACAUCUGAAGAACCAAGGGAUAUUAGCGCACAAGCUGUCAGGAGGAGAGGCACCCUUCGAACCAGCAUGUAUAUCCAUUUGCUUUCCUUGAACAGAUCUAGCCAUGGAAGGAGGAAGGAAAGAAAAAGGGAAAUAGCUGAGAAUGGGAGUCUCCUACUAGCUAUGGGAAAGGGCCUUGAGCUCCCAAAAAUCCCUGAUUUUGUGCAAAUAGAUUGAGGAAAUUUCACCACAAGUCAAGGGAGGAGAGGAGAAAGGAAGGGAAAGACUUGGCAAAAUGGGAUGGAAGCCCCAAUUUCGUGC
Molecule: long non-coding RNA, 369 nt
Filed under: Prunus persica (peach)
Lineage: Eukaryota; Viridiplantae; Streptophyta; Magnoliopsida; Rosales; Rosaceae
Description: long non-coding RNA (PPER_LNC008070)
Source: RNAcentral